Amphibalanus amphitrite is the source of this 1938-nucleotide long non-coding RNA. RefSeq lists it as uncharacterized. Lineage: Eukaryota; Metazoa; Arthropoda; Thecostraca; Balanomorpha; Balanidae. The record is from RefSeq and is a predicted model, not a curated record. The transcript is spliced from 3 exons.
AGUUGCCGGCCAGUUGGACUUGAGCGGUCGCCAUGCACAGAAGAUCCUCAGUCAUAGUUAACAAAAUGGAAAAAAAUUAGCUGUGUUUUUAAGAUUCCAGUGGUGGCCAUCAACUGCUCAGGAAAGCAGCCCAGAAUCACUUCACAACAGGUUUCCAAAGGAUCAUCAUUCAUCAGCACAGAAGGGUGGGAAAGAGAAGGCUGUUCAAAUUCUGAAAAGCCAGAGCUGCAAAGGAGGUCAAAGAUGCAGUGCAGUUGGCCCACUCAGUAGAGUUUCACUAGUGGUUCUGAUGUGGACUGAAGAUUACACGCUGGAUUGAAGUGGCCGGUCUGGAGCAGCUGUAGUUCAUCAUUCUUGCUGAUUGUGGACGAGUAAGAGCCCUUGUUGGCCCCGAUCGGCGAUCGCUGGCCAAAGCCCACCACCAGUUUGGUGAUAGGCGUUGGCUGUGAUAUCUAGUGUCGCCUAUGUGUGAAAAGGACAAGUUGAUAACAAAACCUGUUGCGCCAUGUUAUUAACCCGCGCCCGGGUGGCCCUCAGCCAACUGGUGGGGGGGGGGGGGGGGGGGAGGUGUAUUCGGCCACACCAGGUUAUCUUGGAAUGUAGCAAAGCUGGAAAGACGCAGUAAAAUCAAUCUAUAGACCGCUAUUUUUCUUCGGAAUCAUACAGGUCAUUUUUGAUCAGGUCAUCGCUGAGGUCACUGGAGGUCUCCAAAAGUAAAAUGAUGACGAAUUUUGGCCCCCGAUUUUGACAACUUCACAAAUUGGUUCAUAAUUCGGGAACCAAAGAAGCUACAGCGCCGCGGAAAAGGGAAUUCGAUAGCUCUUUCGAAAAUCUUUCAGGUUCUCAGAUUUGAGCUAAGGUCAACUAGGGUUAAGCCUCCAAAGGGCAAAAACUGAACAAUCGGCUUGCUUCGGAAGUCGUCUUUUCUUUAAAAAAUUUUUAAACUGAUACCAACCUUUUAUUACGUUGAUUUUACCGGCACUGCGUUUCUCUCGUCUUCUUGGCCUAACAAGGUCAGCUUAAUAAAUUUGACCUCAGGUCAAUGUCGCAGAAAAUGCCAUUUUGCAUGUCAUUGAUUCGUUACAUUGAAAUUGAGAUUAACAUCAGUAGCGGCGGAACACCUUCAAUUAAGGGGGCAUUGCCGACUUUGGUCUCAUUCUUUCCAUGCAACGGCCAUAGGGCUAAUGUUAAAAUGCCAAAAUCAAAGGGGGCACGGUGCCUCGGUGCCCUCGGCCUGUUCCGCCGCCUAUGAUUAUGAUGCUUUUAGCGCUCUGGCCACGUUCCAUCUAAAAUCGAUGUACAAAAAUAAACUGUUGGGAGGCGUUACAUGACCUGAGAUGACCUCAGGAGCAUACGAUAGAUCCCGAUGUUUGAGUGCUUUUGUUUCAAAAGCAGAACAUUUCGAUUUCGAGUUCCUCAUACUGACUGAAACUGGAGACGUCGCAAAGUUGACCUGACCCUAGGUCACCACCGAUAUCAAAAUUAAAGAUAUUCAAGAUGUUGGUACUGAUUCUCUCAUGCAAUAGCUCGAGUUUCAAACUUCUACUUCAUGGUGACCUGACCUGACCUUAGGUGAUAUGGGGUUACUUUUUUCACAAUUGAUGCGAAUCGAUGCAUUAUACAUAAGCUAUACUAAGUUUCGUGUCGUUUUAUCUAUGCAAGCACAAAAUUGUCAGGUGUGGCCAAAAACGCCUCCACGGCCCACCCACCUGGGGAACGUUAAAGCAGUGAUGUAUUUUUUUCGGUGUAUUCCACGAUGCAUCGAUCGGUGUACUUGAUAAUGCAUUAUUUAUUGCUGCGUGUGUACGCUUUUCCUCUGUUCAGUGUGAUCUGUGAUAGGAAAACUACCGAUAUAUCUCCACGUGCAUGACUGAAAGAGCUGGCGUGAUCUAUAAUAUUGGGUGUCUGUUUUUGCUUGGCAUUUUAUAAAUAAUGAGU